RNAcentral lists this non-coding RNA (24 nucleotides) under Arabidopsis thaliana (thale cress). The record is from RNAcentral. Lineage: Eukaryota; Viridiplantae; Streptophyta; Magnoliopsida; Brassicales; Brassicaceae.
AGGGAAAUUACAGGUUUCGCCUCA